GGCAACAGCCAAUCGGGUUUGUUGUUGAGCUGAGAGCUCCAAUGCUAGAGCGUAGCAGGCAUUGCAAGCUUCGAGGGAGAAAACAAUGAACAAAUUGAACAAAGUUGAAACCUUUUUCUGUUUUUUGUUUCAUUUUUACCUUGUGGUGAAGUUGAGUUUUUGUUUUUCCACCUGCGUGGCCUGGAAAACAUUUUUUUUUUUUUUUUUUAAAGGGGACUUGGUGAGUGUUAAAAUAAUAUUUGUUUGAAUUAAUUUGAUAUUUAAUAUAUUUAUUUUCGGUAAAUUCCUUGAAACGGUAGACUAUGACAGUGAAUUUAUGUUAUUUUAUGUAUUUAUUUUCAAGUUGAAGAAGUUUUGGCGCGUUAAAGUGAAAGCUUCCCCAGACAUUCCAUCCGCCAUUACAUGCAACGUAACUUAAGAGUUAUGUUAACAUGAAACUGCCGUAUUUUGUAUUCAUUCCUAUAGACUGCCUUUUUAUUUUAAUUUACUUAUUUGAGUGUAUUUUAUGUUGGUAUGAUAGACCAUUAAGAUUGGGCCGAAAAAACGGACUCCUCAAUCCGGGAUCCUUGUGCGGGACAGAACAAGAUGGCGAGCCAACCCGGAACCAUUUGAUGUAGCAAAGGACCAAGCGCCCUCUGCUGGACACUUGACAACCCCUCUUAUCCUUUGGAACUGCUUGUUUGGGUAGAUUGCCGUUCCUCAAAGUACUGGAGAGAUUCCCGAAAGCAUCAACAGGAACGACUUGGAGACGAAUGCCUCAGAGCUUCACAGCAGGAAACUCCUGGACCGGGAAAGGCUGCCAGCCAUCAGGGAAUCCAACCCUUGAGCUUCUUCUCUGUGAUUGGCAGGGAGAUGACACAACGUCAAUCAAAGAGGGUGCAAGGAUUCUUUAUCCAUCAGUUCAUGCAAAGCAGUGGCAUCAACAAGCUGGUGCAGUAAUUUGUCUAAAUUUGGCACAGACAGUGCAACUUUCUUCUUUUUUUUUGCUUUACUUCUUGGUUUUGGAGAUUGUAUUUUAUGAGUUGAUAAAAUUUGUCAAUUUGUAAAAUUGCAUGACAUUUUAUUACAGUAUUACUACAGUAGUUAAUUCUGUCCAACUGGGGCUUCGUGAUAACAUGCUUAGCUCAGAUAUUAGCUAAUGCUACGGUCACAAAUACAACUGCCACCGCAAGAAGGGGAGGCAUCGACACAAUGUUCAAGAUUCAUGCAGAUCUUUUGUUUAGAAAGUCGUUGGUGUGGUCAUGAAUGUAUAUGGUGGCAGCCAGAUGGUUUUCAGGGAUGAGAACGACUUAUUAAAUGUUGUUCACCAUGGUUUCUGUUAAUAAUCUUUUGAUGGAUUCACUAUUUUUCAGCAGACUUACCCCUUAAGUACAUAAUUGUUUCAUAAAAAUAAACUGCAUCCACUGCUGGUUGGAUCUAAAGGUGGUUUUGAAAUAAGAAAUAACUCUCAGCAGCCUAAAAGACACUUGCGCAUAAUGAUAAAACUACAUAACCUUAAUAUCUUAAAUUAUUUGGUUACUCUUCUUGUUCUUGUUGCCAGUUUAGAUUUUUUUUGUCCAAGAUUUCUGACAUCACAGGUCCAGAAAAUACAUGCCAAGACAAGACAAGGUCAUUUCAGGGCUGUUAGGGUGAGCAUAUGUUGUAAAAUUCACCACACUGCUAAAAAUCUUAAGUGUUUAUCCUUUUAACUGGGUUUAUUAUCAAUACUGAACAUAAAUAGUGUUUCAGUUUUUGCCAAUUAGUCAAAAAAUAUCAUCUUUCUUGAAGGAUCUCUACAGUUUUCGCCAGGCAUUUCUUAAUUUAACUUUGAAAAUGACUUGCUCUCCAAUCUGUGUGUCCUCCACUGUCAGACUAACCAAAUACUGAAAUGAAUCGAUACAUCUUCAAACUUUGUUCUUCCCCGAUGGGGUUUUUGAAUUUGUUCAGCAGAUAUGAUGUCAUUGUCAUUGAUCUCCUUCAUGUUCGUGCUAAUAUAAAAUCCAUAAAUCGCUACAAAUGGAUUUAGUUAGUGGUGGAAAUAAUUGUAAGACAUUCUGUCAGCUGUCCCCCACAUCACUCCUCCAAUACUUCUUGAGUGGAUGUCUUAUGGAUCAAAUGAUGGAUUCGGCAGGAAGAGUUUGGAAAGUGCAGAAAACUUUUUUUUUGUAGAAAAAAAAGGGAAAUUUUGAGGUAAAUGUACACCCAUUUUUCUUAAGAUUGCUGACACUCUGCAGUUGUUUUUGCAUGUAAAAAAGGAUGCAUUACUUAGUCAUAAAGCAGCUAAAUAUAAGCAGAUUAAAGUUUGAGUGUUUGUCAGAACAUUUCCCAGAAGAAGCUGUCAGUGUAACCCACUUUGAAGUGUGUCUCUUGUGCAAUCAUUUCAUCUCAUUACACAGUGAACUUCAACAAAAUGGGUUUUAAAUUGUUUUCUAAUUUCAUUCUUAUUUUGACGUUAGUCUUCUUUUGGUCAUGGAUAUUGGAUCUUUUGCACAGUUGGGUUUAAUCACUUGUUAUUCUGCAAUCUGUUUAUGAAUGAAGGUAAAGUUGUUGUUUUGUUGGAAAGUUUCAGGGAGAUGUUGAAGGGACGUGUACCUGAAAUGCUCGUUCGGGGACUUUGGGAGCUCUUAUUUCAAAAUAAAAGCUUAAAAAACAGUGUCAGUGGACUGUUGUUUAAUACCAAAGGGAUUUAAGGAUCACUAUAAAUUGAGAUCACAUUAUAUAAGGUUGGGAUGAGAAUGGAUUGCUGUUAAUUUAUGGCAAAGCUAUCUCAAUGAGAUCCAAGGUAUUUCAAAAUUAAAAUCGGAAAUGUCAUUUUUUGGCUUAACAUGUUGUGUUUUUAUUUUUUCUAAAGUAGACACUCCACAUUCACUGGACAGAAGGUCCAGGUUGUUGUCAACAACCCUACCUUGGAAAUUUGAUACUUUUUCCACUGUGUUUUAUUUGUCUUUACAGCUCAUUUUUUCAAAUGCAAUCACAUCCUUUUGGAAAUCUUUAUAGGAAGUUCCUAAGUCAAAUAUCUGAGCCCACUGACCUAAAAGGUAAGAUGUUCUUAGAAAAACAUAAAUGUGGUGCAAUAUAGAAUUAGAUUUGCAUAAAAAAACCUUGAGGUGACAUUGUUUUUUUUUCAGAUACUUUCAUACUUUUACCAGUCAUAUUUAUAAUUUACAUAUUUUUUCCCACCAGAUAAGAGAGAACAUCAUUAAUUUCGCAAACAUGUUCAUUAAUAAACCCCUGCUCAUAUUCCCACCACAAGGUAAAAAUGUUUUGUUAUAUUUCCAAUUAUUUUUCCAUCUACAAAGGAAAGCAUGAACAUACAGGAAAAACAGAGUUGAUUUACUGUGUUGUUAACGCAUAUAAGCAAAAAAGAAAAUGUUAGAAUGUAUUAAAAGACUUCCUACCUUGCAAGAAUUUCUAUUACAAAAUAAAUGUAAGUUUUCCAUUAUUCUGUUGAGACAGUUCAUUCCUGUCUUUUUAAGUUUUCUAUGUCUUUGAGUUAAAAAGCAACAGAAAAAAUCAGUACUUUGGUACCAGAAGUAAAGCAUUAUAAAUAUAUACAUUUAGAAGUAUGCAUGUAUCCUUUGAAAGUUUAAUAAGAAAGAGAUAUAAAAGCUAAUUUAUAGGAGCAAAGAUACUUUUAUGUCUUGAACAAGGAGAAACAAACUAACAAGCUGUAGUUUUUUUCUUAGAACAGAAGGCGCUUUCAGUUUGCCAUGGUCAAGUCAAACUCCCAAAGGGUGCAAAACUAACCAAUGGGAAAGAAAUAAGUGCAAUUUAUUUGAGAAUGACAAAUGUUACACCUUUUCCUUGCCUCAGUAAUGGAUUUUUCCUUGUAGCUCUGACAACUCGCCACUGACCUUGACAGUGAGCAGCUACUCCUGGGGGUCAGCUUCUCCAUCUGUCUCUUUAAGCCAUGGCUGCAUCGAGUAAAUGGUUAAAGUAAGGUUUUUUUUUCUUUUUUGGUGGGGUAUUUGUUGUAAGACUCAAUCAGCUCAAAUUGUUGAUGCAGACAUUAAAAAACGUAUUUAUUACACAAAAAACAAUUUAGCAUUAUUGGGGUAUUUCAACUGUAACAGUGCUUAAAUAAAUUUAAAAUAGUCACACAUCAUGUCAAACCCUCAUUUUAUUAUGUACAAACUGUUACAAAGACACUACAAACACAAAAAUGCAAUUUUACCCCACCAACUCUAGAAAUAAGU
This is a long non-coding RNA of Oryzias melastigma (Indian medaka), 4175 nucleotides long. RefSeq lists it as uncharacterized. Lineage: Eukaryota; Metazoa; Chordata; Actinopteri; Beloniformes; Adrianichthyidae. The transcript is spliced from 3 exons. The record is from RefSeq and is a predicted model, not a curated record.